This 1246-nucleotide ribosomal RNA is filed under the name metagenome. RNAcentral describes it as "SSU rRNA". It matches the Rfam family "Eukaryotic small subunit ribosomal RNA", at positions 488 to 1758 of the family's 1831-position model. The record is from RNAcentral.
GAUCUCUUUGAGGCCCGUUAUCGGAAUGAGAACAAUUCAAAUCCUUUAACGAGGAUCUAGCGGAGGGCAAGUCUGGUGCCAGCAGCCGCGGUAAUUCCAGCUCCGCAGGUGUAUAUCUAUGCUGCUGCGGUUAAAAAGCUCGUAGUUGGAUCUGCGUGCUCGGAACUGGUUGGCUCACUGAGUUCAAACUGGUCUCCGGCGCUUUAUUGGCUGGUUUUCCCUUGAUGCUCUUAACCGGGUGUCUUGGGUGGCUAGCACGUUUACUUUGAAAAAAAUUAGAGUGCUCAAUACAGGCGUAAAGCCUUGAAUAGUGGUGCAUGGAAUAAUAGAAUAGGACCUCGGCUCUAUUUUGUUGGUUUUCGGAACGCGAGGUAAUGAUUAAGAGGGACAGACGGGGGCAUUCGUAUUGCGACGUUAGAGGUGAAAUUCUUGGAUCGUCGCAAGACGGACGACUGCGAAAGCAUUUGCCAAGAAUGUUUUCAUUAAUCAAGAACGAAAGUUAGAGGUUCGAAGGCGAUCAGAUACCGCCCUAGUUCUAACCGUAAACGAUGCCAACUAGCGAUUCGCAGGCGUUAAACAACGACCUUGCGGGCAGCUUCCCGGAAACGAAAGUGUUCGGGUUCCGGGGGAAGUAUGGUUGCAAAGCUGAAACUUAAAGGAAUUGACGGAAGGGCACCACCAGGAGUGGAGCCUGCGGCUUAAUUUGACCCAACACGGGAAAACUCACCCGGCCCGGACACCGUAAGGAUUGACAGAUUGAGAGCUCUUUCUUGAUUCGGUGGGUGGUGGUGCAUGGCCGUUCUUAGUUGGUGGAGCGAUUUGUCUGGUUUAUUCCGAUAACGAACGAGACUCUGGCCUACUAAAUAGUGGGCGGAUUCUUUCUGUCCGCAACACUUCUUAGAGGGACAAGCGGUGUUCAGCCGCACGAGAUUGAGCAAUAACAGGUCUGUGAUGCCCUUAGAUGUCCGGGGCUGCACGCGCGCUACACUGAAGGAAUCAGCGUGCUUUCUGACCUUGCCCGAAAGGGCUGGGUAACCCGAUGAAAAUCCUUCGUGAUUGGGAUAGGGACUUGCAAUUAUUUCCCUUGAACGAGGAAUUCCCAGUAAGUGUGGGUCAUAAGCUCGCGUUGAUUACGUCCCUGCCCUUUGUACACACCGCCCGUCGCUGCCCGGAACUGAGCCGUUUCGAGAAGAACAGGGACCGUCGUUGAAGGGCCUUAACGGGCUUUUCUCUGAUAGAAACUGUU